This 460-nucleotide ribosomal RNA is filed under the name uncultured bacterium. RNAcentral describes it as "partial 16S ribosomal RNA". It matches the Rfam family "Bacterial small subunit ribosomal RNA", at positions 338 to 795 of the family's 1533-position model. The record is from RNAcentral.
CCUACGGGUGGCAGCAGUGAGGAAUAUUGGUCAAUGGGCGUAAGCCUGAACCAGCCAAGUCGCGUGAGGGAUGAAGGUUCUAUGGAUCGUAAACCUCUUUUAUAAGGGAAUAAAGUGUGGGACGUGUCCUAUUUUGUAUGUACCUUAUGAAUAAGGAUCGGCUAACUCCGUGCCAGCAGCCGCGGUAAUACGGAGGAUCCGAGCGUUAUCCGGAUUUAUUGGGUUUAAAGGGUGCGUAGGCGGCCUUUUAAGUCAGCGGUGAAAGUCUGGGGCUCAAACAUAGAAUUGCCGUUGAAACUGGGGGGCUUGAGUAUGUUAGAGGAAGGCGGAAGGCGUGGUGGAGCGGUGAAAUGCUUAGAUAUCACGCAGAACCCCGAUUGCGAAGGCAGCCUGCCAAGCCAUGACUGACGCUGAUGCACGAAAGCGUGGGGAUCAAACAGGAUUAGAUACCCUUGUAGUC